This 71-nucleotide transfer RNA is filed under the name Solirubrobacteraceae bacterium. RNAcentral's name for it is "tRNA-Gln". It matches the Rfam family "tRNA". From Rfam's summary of the family: Transfer RNA (tRNA) molecules are approximately 80 nucleotides in length. Their secondary structure includes four short double-helical elements and three loops (D, anti-codon, and T loops). Further hydrogen bonds mediate the characteristic L-shaped molecular structure. tRNAs have two regions of fundamental functional importance: the anti-codon, which is responsible for specific mRNA codon recognition, and the 3' end, to which the tRNAs corresponding amino acid is attached (by aminoacyl-tRNA synthetases). tRNAs cope with the degeneracy of the genetic code in two manners: having more than one tRNA (with a specific anti-codon) for a particular amino acid; and 'wobble' base-pairing, i.e. permitting non-standard base-pairing at the 3rd anti-codon position. RNAcentral also lists the same sequence under 1 other name. Lineage: Bacteria; Bacillati; Actinomycetota; Thermoleophilia; Solirubrobacterales; Solirubrobacteraceae. The record is from RNAcentral.
UGCCGGAUGGGGUAAUGGCAGCCCGCCUGGUUCUGGCCCAGGUAGUCUAGGUUCGAGUCCUAGUCCGGCAG